UCUCUUCGGGGAGUGUUAUAGCCCGCUGCACAAUACCCCUUCGGCGGGCUGAGGUACGCGCUCCGCAAGGAUGCUGGCGUAAUGGUCAUCAGCGACCCGUCUUGAAACACGGACCAAGGAGUCAACCUUAUGUGCGAGUGUUCGGGUGUCAAACCCCUACGCGAAAUGAAAGUGAACGCAGGUGAGAGCUUCGGCGCAUCAUCGACCGAUCCUGAUGUUCUCGGAUGGAUUUGAGUAAGAGCAUAUAGGGUUGGACCCGAAAGAAGGUGAACUAUGCGUGUAUAGGGUGAAGCCAGAGGAAACUCUGGUGGAGGCUCGCAGCGGUUCUGACGUGCAAAUCGAUCGUCAAAUAUGCGCAUGGGGGCGAAAGACUAAUCGAACCUUCUAGUAGCUGGUUUCCGCCGAAGUUUCCCUCAGGAUAGCAGUGUUGAACUCAGUUUUAUGAGGUAAAGCGAAUGAUUAGGGACUCGGGGGCGCUAUAUUGCCUUCAUCCAUUCUCAAACUUUAAAUAUGUAAGAAGCCCUUGUUACUUAGCUGAACGUGGGCAUUCGAAUGUAUCAACACUAGUGGGCCAUUUUUGGUAAGCAGAACUGGCGAUGCGGGAUGAACCGAACGCGAGGUUAAGGUGCCAGAGUAGACGCUCAUCAGACACCACAAAAGGUGUUAGUACAUCUUGACAGCAGGACGGUGGCCAUGGAAGUCGGAAUCCGCUAAGGACUGUGUAACAACUCACCUGCCGAAUGUACUAGCCCUGAAAAUGGAUGGCGCUCAAGCGUCUCACCCAUACCUCGCCCUCAGCGUAGAAACGAUGCGCUGAGGAGUAGGCGGACGUGGAGGUCAGUG
This 843-nucleotide ribosomal RNA is filed under the name Colletotrichum sp. Its description in RNAcentral is "partial large subunit ribosomal RNA". It matches the Rfam family "Eukaryotic large subunit ribosomal RNA", at positions 553 to 1402 of the family's 3401-position model. The record is from RNAcentral. Lineage: Eukaryota; Fungi; Ascomycota; Sordariomycetes; Glomerellales; Glomerellaceae.